CAAGGAAUUUUCCCCAAUGGGCGCAAGCCUGAGGGAGCAACGCCGCGUGCAGGACGACGGCUUUCGGGUUGUAAACUGCUUUUGCGUGGGACGAUAACGACGGUACCACGCGAAUAAGCUCCGGCUAACUCCGUGCCAGCAGCCGCGGUAAUACGGAGGGAGCUAGCGUUGUUCGGAAUUACUGGGCGUAAAGCGCGCGUAGGCGGUUACUCAAGUCAGGGGUGAAAUCCCGGAGCCCAACUCCGGAACUGCCCUUGAAACUAGGCGACUAGAAUCUUGGAGAGGCGAGUGGAAUUCCGAGUGUAGAGGUGAAAUUCGUAGAUAUUCGGAAGAACACCAGUGGCGAAGGCGACUCGCUGGACAAGUAUUGACGCUGAGGUGCGAAAGCGUGGGGAGCAAACAGGAUUAGAUACCCCCGUAGUCC
Molecule: ribosomal RNA, 424 nt
Filed under: uncultured prokaryote
Description: bacterial SSU rRNA
Rfam family: Bacterial small subunit ribosomal RNA
Source: RNAcentral